UGGUGGGUAGUUUGACUGGGGCGGUCUCCUCCCAAAGAGUAACGGAGGAGCACGAAGGUUAGCUAAUCCUGGUCGGACAUCAGGAGGUUAGUGCAAUGGCAUAAGCUAGCUUGACUGCGAGAGUGACGGCUCGAGCAGGUGCGAAAGCAGGUCAUAGUGAUCCGGUGGUUCUGAAUGGAAGGGCCAUCGCUCAACGGAUAAAAGGUACUCCGGGGAUAACAGGCUGAUACCGCCCAAGAGUUCAUAUCGACGGCGGUGUUUGGCACCUCGAUGUCGGCUCAUCACAUCCUGGGGCUGAAGUAGGUCCCAAGGGUAUGGCUGUUCGCCAUUUAAAGUGGUACGCGAGCUGGGUUUAGAACGUCGUGAGACAGUUCGGUCCCUAUCUGCCGUGGGCGCUGGAGAAUUGAGGGGGGCUGCUCCUAGUACGAGAGGACCGGAGUGGACGCAUCACUGGUGUUCGGGUUGUCAUGCCAAUGGCACU
RNAcentral lists this ribosomal RNA (481 nucleotides) under Enterobacter cancerogenus. RNAcentral describes it as "partial 23S ribosomal RNA". It matches the Rfam family "Bacterial large subunit ribosomal RNA", at positions 2259 to 2739 of the family's 2925-position model. The record is from RNAcentral. Lineage: Bacteria; Pseudomonadati; Pseudomonadota; Gammaproteobacteria; Enterobacterales; Enterobacteriaceae. RNAcentral also lists the same sequence under 1 other name.